GAAAACUUGAAGGAUGUGCUUUUGGGCACUAGAGCAAAGGCUCCCCAACUUCUCUCCAGUUUCCCAAGCAAUGACGUCUUAGGAUGGGUUCAUCCAUGGACCUCCUCCUGGCUAGCGGCCUAUUAAUUUUACUGUCGCUGCAACAGCAUGGCCACUGACAGAUGUGUGGUGUAGGUCUGCACUGGGGAACCGAACCCUAGCCGUAGAAGUGGAGCGCAUGGAACUUAACCACUAGGCCACUGGGGCUGGCCCUCUGGCCGGUUUCAAUGAAAGUGUAUUUGAAUUACCUUUUGGGUGGUCUCCAG
Molecule: long non-coding RNA, 305 nt
Filed under: Equus caballus (horse)
Lineage: Eukaryota; Metazoa; Chordata; Mammalia; Perissodactyla; Equidae
Description: lncRNA (ENSECAG00000051339.1)
Source: RNAcentral